AUUGAACGCUGGCGGCAUGCUUUACACAUGCAAGUCGAACGGCAACGCGGGCUUCGGCCUGGCGGCGAGUGGCGAACGGGUGAGUAAUGCAUCGGAACGUGCCCAGUAGUGGGGGAUAGCCCGGCGAAAGCCGGAUUAAUACCGCAUACGACCUGAGGGUGAAAGCGGGGGGCCGAAAGGCCUCGCGCUAUUGGAGCGGCCGAUGUCGGAUUAGCUAGUUGGUGGGGUAAAGGCUUACCAAGGCGACGAUCCGUAGCUGGUCUGAGGGGACGACCAGCCACACUGGGACUGAGACACGGCCCAGACUCCUACGGGAGGCAGCAGUGGGGAAUUUUGGACAAUGGGGGCAACCCUGAUCCAGCCAUGCCGCGUGCGGGAAGAAGGCCUUCGGGUUGUAAACCGCUUUUGUUCGGGAAGAAAUCCUCUGGGCUAAUACCCCGGGGGGAUGACGGUACCGGAAGAAUAAGCACCGGCUAACUACGUG
RNAcentral lists this ribosomal RNA (484 nucleotides) under uncultured bacterium. RNAcentral's name for it is "partial 16S ribosomal RNA". It matches the Rfam family "Bacterial small subunit ribosomal RNA", at positions 28 to 507 of the family's 1533-position model. The record is from RNAcentral.